AUUGAACGCUGGCGGCAGGCCUAACACAUGCAAGUCGAGCGGAUGCAGGGAGCUUGCUCCUGGAUUCAGCGGCGGACGGGUGAGUAAUGCCUAGGAAUCUGCCUGGUAGUGGGGGAUAACGUCCGGAAACGGGCGCUAAUACCGCAUACGUCCUGCGGGAGAAAGUGGGGGAUCUUCGGACCUCACGCUAUCAGAUGAGCCUAGGUCGGAUUAGCUAGUUGGUGGGGUAAAGGCCUACCAAGGCGACGAUCCGUAACUGGUCUGAGAGGAUGAUCAGUCACACUGGAACUGAGACACGGUCCAGACUCCUACGGGAGGCAGCAGUGGGGAAUAUUGGACAAUGGGCGAAAGCCUGAUCCAGCCAUGCCGCGUGUGUGAAGAAGGUCUUCGGAUUGUAAAGCACUUUAAGUUGGGAGGAAGGGCAGUAAGUUAAUACCUUGCUGUUUUGACGUUACCAACAGAAUAAGCACCGGCUAACUUCGUG
RNAcentral lists this ribosomal RNA (484 nucleotides) under uncultured bacterium. Its description in RNAcentral is "partial 16S ribosomal RNA". It matches the Rfam family "Bacterial small subunit ribosomal RNA", at positions 30 to 507 of the family's 1533-position model. The record is from RNAcentral.